Non-coding RNA from Vagococcus fluvialis bH819, 125 nucleotides. The record is from Rfam. Lineage: Bacteria; Bacillati; Bacillota; Bacilli; Lactobacillales; Enterococcaceae.
GGUUAAAUAUUAACUGUACCGAAGACAGUAGGUGACGUAAGUCUUAAUUUCCUACCGAGGACCAUAUUGAAAGUAAUCAAUAGUCCCUCUAUGUCAACGGUGGCAUGGGGUUUUUUUAUAUAGAA